AGAGUUUGAUCCUGGCUCAGAUUGAACGCUGGCGGCAGGCCUAACACAUGCAAGUCGAGCGGAAACGAGUUAUCUGAACCUUCGGGGGACGAUAACGGCGUCGAGCGGCGGACGGGUGAGUAAUGCCUAGGAAAUUGCCCUGAUGUGGGGGAUAACCAUUGGAAACGAUGGCUAAUACCGCAUAAUGCCUACGGGCCAAAGAGGGGGACCUUCGGGCCUCUCGCGUCAGGAUAUGCCUAGGUGGGAUUAGCUAGUUGGUGAGGUAAUGGCUCACCAAGGCGACGAUCCCUAGCUGGUCUGAGAGGAUGAUCAGCCACACUGGAACUGAGACACGGUCCAGACUCCUACGGGAGGCAGCAGUGGGGAAUAUUGCACAAUGGGCGCAAGCCUGAUGCAGCCAUGCCGCGUGUGUGAAGAAGGCCUUCGGGUUGUAAAGCACUUUCAGUCGUGAGGAAGGUAGUGUAGUUAAUAGCUGCAUUAUUUGACGUUAGCGACAGAAGAAGCACCGGCUAACUCCGUGCCAGCAGCCGCGGUAAU
This 537-nucleotide ribosomal RNA is filed under the name uncultured bacterium. RNAcentral's name for it is "bacterial SSU rRNA". It matches the Rfam family "Bacterial small subunit ribosomal RNA", at positions 8 to 524 of the family's 1533-position model. The record is from RNAcentral.